RNAcentral lists this ribosomal RNA (520 nucleotides) under uncultured Paraglomus. RNAcentral's name for it is "SSU rRNA". It matches the Rfam family "Eukaryotic small subunit ribosomal RNA", at positions 569 to 1092 of the family's 1831-position model. Lineage: Eukaryota; Fungi; Glomeromycota; Glomeromycetes; Paraglomerales; Paraglomeraceae. The record is from RNAcentral.
AGCAGCCGCGGUAAUUCCAGCUCCAAUAGCGUAUAUUAAAGUUGUUGCAGUUAAAAAGCUCGUAGUUGAAUUUCAGGCCUGGCUGGACGGUCCGCCCUUCGGGUGAGUACUGUCUGUGGUCGGGUCCUACCUUCUGGCGAAGCGUCAUGGCCUUAACCGGCCGUGGCGGGGAACCAGGACUUUUACUGUGAAAAAAUUAGAGUGUUCAAAGCAGGCAAAUCGCUUGGAUACAUUAGCAUGGAAUAAUGGAAUAGGACGAUGGUUCUAUUUGUUGGUUUCUAGGACCGUUGUAAUGAUUAAUAGGGAUAGUUGGGGGCAUUAGUAUUCAAUUGUCAGAGGUGAAAUUCUUGGAUUUAUUGAAGACUAACUACUGCGAAAGCAUUUGCCAAGGAUGUUUUCAUUAAUCAAGAACGAAAGUUAGGGGAUCGAAGACGAUCAGAUACCGUCGUAGUCUUAACCAUAAACUAUGCCGACUAGGAAUCGGGCGAUGUUGACAAAAUGACGCGCUCGGCACCUCAUG